GACGAACGCUGGCGGCGUGCUUAACACAUGCAAGUCGAACGGAAAGGCCCUGCUUUUGUGGGGUGCUCGAGUGGCGAACGGGGGAGUAACACGUGAGUAACCUGCCCUUAACUUUGGGAUAACUUCACGAAACUGGGGCUCAUACCGGAUAGGAGCUCCUGCUGCGUGGGGGGGGUUGGAAAGUUUCGGCGGUUGGGGCUGGACUGGCGGGUUAUGCGCUAGUUGGGGUGGUAGUGGAUGACCAAGGCUUAGACGGGUAGCCGGCCUGGGAGGGUGAACAGCCACAUUGGGCCUGAGAGACGGACCAGACUGCUACGGUCCGCAGUAGUGGAGAAUAUUGCACAGUGGGCGGACGCCUGUUGCAGCAACCUCGCGUGCGGAGUGCCGGGCUUCGGGUUGUAAACAGCUUUCGACUGUGACGAAGCGUGAGUGACGGUAAUGGGUAAAGAAGCACCGGCUAACUACGUG
This 468-nucleotide ribosomal RNA is filed under the name uncultured bacterium. RNAcentral's name for it is "partial 16S ribosomal RNA". It matches the Rfam family "Bacterial small subunit ribosomal RNA", at positions 28 to 507 of the family's 1533-position model. The record is from RNAcentral.